This 472-nucleotide ribosomal RNA is filed under the name uncultured bacterium. RNAcentral describes it as "bacterial SSU rRNA". It matches the Rfam family "Bacterial small subunit ribosomal RNA", at positions 355 to 825 of the family's 1533-position model. The record is from RNAcentral.
UGGGGAAUUUUGGACAAUGGGGGAAACCCUGAUCCAGCCAUUCCGCGUGAGUGAAGAAGGCCUUCGGGUUGUAAAGCUCUUUCGGCAGGAACGAAACGGUUUGGGCUAAUACCCCAGACUACUGACGGUACCUGAAGAAGAAGCACCGGCUAACUACGUGCCAGCAGCCGCGGUAAUACGUAGGGUGCGAGCGUUAAUCGGAUUUACUGGGCGUAAAGCAUGCGCAGGCGGCGGUUCAAGUCAGGUGUGAAAUCCCCGAGCUUAACUUGGGAAUUGCGCUUGAAACUAGAUCGCUAGAGUACGGCAGAGGGGGGUAGAAUUCCACGUGUAGCAGUGAAGUGCGUAGAGAUGUGGAGGAACACCGAUGGCGAAGGCAGCCCCCUGGGCCUGUACUGACGCUCAUGCAUGAAAGCGUGGGGAGCAAACAGGAUUAGAUACCCACGUAGUCCCUGAGCGGGCUGGCAAGGCGCAU